GGAGAUGUGCCUGAAAUAAAAGGAUCAUUUUGAUAGAAUGCCUCAUGAGGGUUUAAGUCCCUCCAUUCUCC
This 71-nucleotide transfer RNA is filed under the name Xenotoca eiseni (redtail splitfin). Its description in RNAcentral is "tRNA-Ile". The record is from RNAcentral. Lineage: Eukaryota; Metazoa; Chordata; Actinopteri; Cyprinodontiformes; Goodeidae.